Molecule: unclassified non-coding RNA, 697 nt
Filed under: Ctenophora sp. (in: diatoms)
Lineage: Eukaryota; Bacillariophyta; Fragilariophyceae; Fragilariales; Fragilariaceae
Description: Ctenophora sp. (in: Bacillariophyta) sequence contains 18S rRNA gene, ITS1, 5.8S rRNA gene
Rfam family: 5.8S ribosomal RNA (bases 300-462)
Source: RNAcentral
AUUUAGAGGAAGUAAAAGUCGUAACAAGGUUUCCGUAGGUGAACCUGCGGAAGGAUCAUUAACGAAUCCAAUCUUACUUGCCUUAGCGGUUUCAAUUGAUGCUGUUCUUCGGGGUCGGUCGAGGAGACGUAAAAACUCNCCNCGAUCGUUAAAUCGUCAGUGGGUACGGUGGACUUCGGUCUGCUAGGCGAGCCCCGAAUUAGUUUUUUACACACGUGUCUAACACCACAAAGACUUAAAAUAUAGAGUCCUCUGUGUCGGAUCUCGUCUCAGAGACGAGAGAUACUUAAAAAGAGAACAACUUUAAACGCGUGGAUAUCUUGGGUCUCGUGUAUAGGAGGAAGAACACAGCAAACUGCGAUAAAUAAAAUGAAAAGCAGCAAAAUAGUAGAAUCUUAUCGAAUAUCUGAAAACAAAAAGGCGCUCUUGGGCAUUCCCAGGAGCACGUCUGUCUGAGCGUCGUUUCUCACAUCAAACCUCCCCGGAGGUUUGGCCAUGAGGUGUCCCUUUGCUGCAAAGCGAACGGUCCCUUGAAGUAGAGCGAUCCCGAGUCGUGCGGAAGCCCUUCGUGGCCCGUGCUUCUCGGUGUGGUAGUAAUAUCUCACCGAGCAGCCGAGUUUCGCAGGUGUCCGAUGCCUUCUCAGUGGGACGACUGGAAAGGGAACGUUUCUCUCUCUCGAGAAGUGAUCCGUCGACC